RNAcentral lists this ribosomal RNA (469 nucleotides) under uncultured bacterium. Its description in RNAcentral is "partial 16S ribosomal RNA". It matches the Rfam family "Bacterial small subunit ribosomal RNA", at positions 28 to 508 of the family's 1533-position model. The record is from RNAcentral.
GACGAACGCUGGCGGCGUGCUUAACACAUGCAAGUCGAACGGAAAGGCCCUGCUUUUGUGGGGUGCUCGAGUGGCGAACGGGUGAGUAACACGUGAGUAACCUGCCCUUGACUUUGGGAUAACUUCAGGAAACUGGGGCUAAUACCGGAUAGGAGCUCCUGCUGCAUGGUGGGGGUUGGAAAGUUUCGGCGGUUGGGGAUGGACUCGCGGCUUAUCAGCUUGUUGGUGGGGUAGUGGCUUACCAAGGCUUUGACGGGUAGCCGGCCUGAGAGGGUGACCGGCCAUAUUGGGACUGAGAUACGGCCCAGACUCCUACGGGAGGCAGCAGUGGGGAAUAUUGCACAAUGGGCGGAAGCCUGAUGCAGCAACGCCGCGUGCGGGAUGACGGCCUUCGGGUUGUAAACCGCUUUCGCCUGUGACGAAGCGUGAGUGACGGUAAUGGGUAAAGAAGCACCGGCUAACUACGUGC